Molecule: long non-coding RNA, 1869 nt
Filed under: Equus caballus (horse)
Lineage: Eukaryota; Metazoa; Chordata; Mammalia; Perissodactyla; Equidae
Description: lncRNA (ENSECAG00000038457.3)
Source: RNAcentral
GAAACAUUAUCAGUAGUUUAAAAUUGAAACAAAGUUACUCUGGAAAAGCCACUAAGAAAAAACUUUAAAUUCAUAUUACUUCUCAAACUGCAGCGUUUCAAUGCAUAUUUUUAACUGCUUUCCUUCAAAAGUUUGCCAUAAAUGUUUGAUGGCAUGCUGUUUCAACCAGGACAUGGGCACUUAGUUUAGAAUGUAAGAUUUUGCUGCAAUUUUAAUUUCCACUAUUUGCAAAUUAUUUGGAGGUAUAUACACCUGGAAAAAAAAAAUCAUGAGUGACGUGAUUAUCCAAUUAAGUCUGGGAAGUAAAAGUGUUUAGAGAAAUGGUCCUCAUAAAGUAAAUUAGAAAAAAAAAACAGUAAAAAGAAGCAAAAAAUUAAAAAAAGAAAGAAGACAAAAACAAACCUUUCUUCAAAGUGUACCUGCUUAAUCCCCACUGAGAACAGCUCUUCAGAGGCUGUCAACAGCUCUGUUUGGUCACGGUGACUGUCACUGACUUUUGCUCAAUGGAUGCCAGAAUGUUGCACUUAUCUUUUACUCAAGGUACUGAGUAAAAAUCAACACUGGACAAAGACCUCUGCCUAACGAGUAGAGCACCCCUGAGGCAGGCGGGAAGAGGAUCUAGGAAUGCAUCACCCUGCUACUGGCUGGUUUGAAGUAUGUGGAAAGAGAAAUAACAGCUGUCAUACAACUGAACUUGCACGUGACAGUACAAACCUGUGGUCUAUACACUCCUUUGGCCCCAGGGACAGACAAGAAAGGUGAAAAAUGUGACCCACUGGAGCUUAGAAAAUGCGCAAAGUCUCUUCAAGAUCGAGUUUGGAGUGGUGGCCUGGACCUUCACUUGCCACUAGGGUGAACAGACAGGCAUCAUGCAUCACAUUUUCAGGAAGCAGCUUGCCGUAACAUUUUGCAACAUGCUUGGAUGUCCUGGAUAUGAGAAGACCAACCAGAAGGUCAGAAACUGAAAAUUGGUUUGCAGAAUAGUUUGAGUGAACGUCUUAAGGUUACAAAGGCAAGCAUAUGGAGAUCUACGUUUGCAUCUUUGAAUUGUAGGAGGCAGAUCUAUUCAACACAUUGCUAGGAGGCAUCCACUGAACAGCCCAGAUGCUAGUAUUUUCCAGCAUUCAACAGUACUUACGUAGUGGACAUGACUUCAUCUGCGAAGAGAAAACCAACUCAAAAUGGAGAAAUAACAGUAAGAAAAUUUAUGAUGUCACAGAAGAGGAUACACAAGGGAAGGCAAUCCUAAGAUUGAUGGGAAACAUAGGAAAAAGAAGAUAAUACUGGAACAAGGUGUUGGAGGAUGACAGCUAAAUCCCACUUCAACCAAGCAACCAACCAACCCACCCUGAGAAGUUUCCAUUCCAGGGGCUGGAUGGAAAGAAGUACCUCCAAAGAAUAUAUGUAUAACUUCAUAUCUCUUCAGGGUCUUUGGUAGAGCGAUCCAAUUUGGGAAGACCAGUCUUUGAAAAACUAUGAAAACUAUUUGCUAAUAUUAUGAAAAGCACAAUUUUCCUUUGCAUCUCUCUCUUUGAAUGUUAUAGGACUAUAUAGAAAGCUGCAGAUAUAAUGCCACAGUAAUUAGAAACUUUCCCCUCUAAAGACUGAAAAGCAGCUAACUCGUGGACUCACUAUACUUUCUUCAAAUGAUUUUUUUCUGGAAGCAUCGUAACAUUCAAUAAGUAGUCACAAUUUUUUUAAAUUAUUUAUCCAUAAGAUUAAAAGAAGUCCCUCCAUAUGUGUGCUCUAUAAAUAUUUGUUGAAUAAAAGACUCAAUUAAAAAAUAAUAAAAAAGCAGUUUUGCAAAUUGCUAAUCACAUCCACUCUAGUGAGAAAUAGACAUGCAACCAUUAGUUCCCUCUUUUUCUG